GGGGAAUAUUGGACAAUGGGGGCAACCCUGAUCCAGCAAUGCCGCGUGAGUGAUGAAGGCCUUCGGGUUGUAAAGCUCUUUCACCCACGACGAUGAUGACGGUAGUGGGAGAAGAAGCCCCGGCUAACUUCGUGCCAGCAGCCGCGGUAAUACGAAGGGGGCUAGCGUUGUUCGGAGUUACUGGGCGUAAAGGGCGCGUAGGCGGCCUGGUCAGUCUGGUGUGAAAGCCCGGGGCUCAACCCCGGAAUUGCACUGGAGACGGCCAAGCUUGAGUGUGGGAGAGGAUGGUGGAAUUCCCAGUGUAGAGGUGAAAUUCGUAGAUAUUGGGAAGAACACCGGUGGCGAAGGCGGCCAUCUGGACCAUUACUGACGCUGAGGCGCGAAAGCGUGGGGAGCAAACAGGA
This 404-nucleotide ribosomal RNA is filed under the name uncultured Rhodospirillaceae bacterium. RNAcentral's name for it is "bacterial SSU rRNA". It matches the Rfam family "Bacterial small subunit ribosomal RNA", at positions 356 to 777 of the family's 1533-position model. The record is from RNAcentral. Lineage: Bacteria; Pseudomonadati; Pseudomonadota; Alphaproteobacteria; Rhodospirillales; Rhodospirillaceae.